AUGGUCGAAUGCCUCGAAUCGACGACCUGGUCAGUGGUCACCGUCGUCCUCUUCUCCGGCGACCGUCGAUCGGCAACGCAGCGGACAUCAAGACCUCCUCUUCCGCCUUCCAAAUCCUUAGCCCAGCUACAUCCACCGACUGACCGACGCACGGUCGCGCGUCCUCAGGUGGACGCCCGGCCGCGCACGCACCGCCCAGCUGCAUCCACUGCGGCGAGCGCGCCUAGGAGGCAGUCGGCCAGCGCGAAUGCACCUUGCCAGGCCGUUGACCAAGCCGCCGGCCAACGGCCGGACUGUCCCAGCGACUUAUGUACAUGCACUACGUGGUGGCAACGGGUAACCACCGCCUUCCCGCCACUCGCGUUGUCGGAGUAG
This 375-nucleotide ribosomal RNA is filed under the name Triticum aestivum (bread wheat). RNAcentral describes it as "partial small subunit ribosomal RNA". The record is from RNAcentral. Lineage: Eukaryota; Viridiplantae; Streptophyta; Magnoliopsida; Poales; Poaceae.